ACUAAACCCUCAAGAUAUUCCAUUUCUUUCCAUGCAGCUGUUCCUGGUUUACCAAUUGUUGGCAAUCUUCUUCAGUUGAAAGAAAAGAAACCCCACCAAACCUUUACAAAAUGGGCUGAAAUUUAUGGGCCAAUUUACACUAUAAAGACAGGUGCUUCUUCUGUAGUUGUGCUCAAUUCAACUGAAGUAGCCAAGGAGGUAGUGGAAAUGGAUCGUACGGACUUCCAGGACGACUUAAUGCACGAGCUCAUUCGUGGUAAUACCGAGUACAUUGCUCCAGAGUUUGAUGGGGCCGAGAAUGAUGGCACCCAAUUUUUAAACUUGCAUUAUCAUGGCGACGAGGGUGAAGAUACUAAUGGGGAGGAAGAAGAAAAUCUCGACGAAGCCGAGGCAUCAGGAUCGACGAAGUCUAAACGGAAACAUGGCUCCAAGAGGAAGAUGGUAGGAUGUACGACCAUCACGGAGAUCGACGAAGCAACCGGCGAGCCACUAGCCCCUGGUCAAAUUAAGACGACAUU
Long non-coding RNA from Panicum virgatum (switchgrass), 518 nucleotides. RefSeq lists it as uncharacterized. The transcript is spliced from 3 exons. The record is from RefSeq and is a predicted model, not a curated record. NCBI's taxonomy places the organism in Eukaryota, Viridiplantae, Streptophyta, Magnoliopsida, Poales, Poaceae.